UGGUGAGCCUUGGAACCCGGUCGCGGCACAGAUGCCUUCGGGAGCCAGAAGCAAAGAGGAAAAUGGACGUGGCUCAGAGAAGCAGGCUGACCCAGGAUUGAUUCAACAAUCUGCAUCACAGCUCCGCCAGUGAUGGAGUCCAGGGUUGGCACGGACUGGACUCUCCUGAGAGGUGGGUGUUGGAGAAUCAGUCAGCUGAUGGGCUCCAUGUCCCUUUGUAUCCAGGAAGAAUCAAAUUAUGAGUAAAAUGUCACCGUGAGGUGAGCGUGAUGACACCAGGGCUGGUGCAGCCUGCCCUGCCUUGUCCCUCAUCCCGGUGCAUCCCCUCGACACAAGCUUCCGCUGCUAUUCAGCUCCACUUUGUUCGCUGUCUUUAGUGUGACUCAGCCCAGGGCCUUUGGUGAAAGACCAUAAUGAUUGCUUCUAUUAAGAAGGCCUUACUUAAAGCAUGGUGAGGCUUGCCUGAAAUUUCAAAAGGAUCAUAAAAUCAAGGCCACCCUGAGCUAUGUAGCAAGACCUUCUUUUUAAACAAGAAAAAGGCAGCAAUCCAUAUUUUUUCCUAAGUAAGUAUUCUGGCAUUCAGACACUGAUCUGCUGAAGGAAUUGUCUCAUUUAAUGUCAUGUCAGAGACGACCCCAGUUAGAUUGGCCUGUGGUAUCUCAGGGAAUAGCAACCUCGGUUUCUAGAACCAGAGAAGCUGGCUAAGCUCACCUUGCCUGAUAGACAGAAGAUAAAUGACCCAGGGGGCUGAGUGGGACAGUGGCCACCCUGGGCAGCCAAGGCUGGGGAGAAGAAACCUGAUCUGAGCAGGACGUGCCUGACUGAUAUGAAUAGAUGGUGACAUGGUAGCCCCAGCACAUGGGGGCAGUGGCCACCUUAGCAAAGAGCUGGAGACACAGAGACGGUAGGUCCCCCCAACCUAGCCCUCAGCGGACAGCAGGCAAGUCCUGGGGAGGCCCAGACGGGGUGAGAGUUCUGCGGGGUCUCGACCACAGUCGCUCUAUGAAGUGAUGUGAUGUGGGUAGGAAUACGGUGUUCUCAGUUGGCGCGAUUCCCUGAACAAUCCUGACUUCAAGGGCUCAGAUGAGGCUCCGUCCGCUGAGUGCCUCUCUUGCAUGCAGAAGGCCAGGCGCUGGGACCCAGCACUGGAUGGACCAGAUGUGGGGACACCGGAAGUUCAAAGUCAUCCUCAACCACACAGGAGUUCAGGUCAGCCUGGGAUGCACGAGACCCUGUCUCGGAACAAAUAACACUUCUUUCAAGAAGAAGUCUUAAAAUUAGGGCUAUAAUGAUCCAAGGUGAGAACGAAGCUUUCUAAAGACUGUGACACUCGGUUACAGCCACUAGAAUGACAGAAGCCUUACAGCUUGGUGGCCCCAUGGAAGCACCUGUCCUCAGGCAUUCCGAGACAGACAGAAGGCAACAUUCACUCAGGGUAGGUGACCAAGAGUCUCACAGAGGCCUAUGCUGGUCAAACCAACAGCAAAACCAACAGCUUCUCCUUGCACAUCCAGCAUCAGCUCAGAGAGUCUGGCAACGCUAGUUCUGAGUGAUGUCCUUCGACUGUUUUGUUUAUUCUGUAGUGGUCCUUGGCCAACAGGGAUGUCCUGGCUAAAGAGCGUUUCCCAGAGUCACAUCCUACCUUUCUGAGGUGGCUGGAUCUUCCCUCUGGCAUGGGGAGCAAUUAUUGCAAAAAAAAAAAAAAAAA
Long non-coding RNA from Peromyscus leucopus (white-footed mouse), 1708 nucleotides. RefSeq lists it as uncharacterized. NCBI's taxonomy places the organism in Eukaryota, Metazoa, Chordata, Mammalia, Rodentia, Cricetidae. The transcript has 2 exons. The record is from RefSeq and is a predicted model, not a curated record.